Molecule: RNase P RNA, 185 nt
Filed under: Pseudobutyrivibrio sp.
Lineage: Bacteria; Bacillati; Bacillota; Clostridia; Lachnospirales; Lachnospiraceae
Description: partial RNase P RNA component class A
Rfam family: Bacterial RNase P class A
About the family: Ribonuclease P (RNase P) is a ubiquitous endoribonuclease, found in archaea, bacteria and eukarya as well as chloroplasts and mitochondria.
Source: RNAcentral
GUGUAAGAGACCACCGUACCGCUGGUAACAGCGGUAGCCAUGUAAACCCCAUCCGAAGCAAGUUCUAAAAAGCGCGUACGUGGCCCGCCAGCGCUAGGUUGAACGCUUGAGACCACAGGCGACAGUGGCCCUAGAUAGAUGACUACUUUAAAAGACAUAACCCGGCUCACAGUCGGGCCUUUUUA